Long non-coding RNA from Mirounga angustirostris (Northern elephant seal), 10074 nucleotides. RefSeq lists it as uncharacterized. The record is from RefSeq and is a predicted model, not a curated record. The transcript is spliced from 5 exons. Lineage: Eukaryota; Metazoa; Chordata; Mammalia; Carnivora; Phocidae.
AAUUUAUAAAUCACCUCUACAAGUUCUGAGCAGAACGAAGCAAAUGGAAAGGAGAAAGGACUGCGCGGGCACGUCUGUGUUUCUACCUCUGCGCGGACCCGGACCAGAAACAGUCCGGCCCCGCAUUCUCCCCGCCCUGGCCCAGGGCGGGCCGCGCUCCCGGGAACACGGAGGAAAAGCUUUCUGUGACGCAAGCCCCUUCCAAGCGGUGGCAGGAAACCCCUCAGCGCUUAUUACGUCGACCACUGCGUGCUCUAACGUUAAAGCAGCUGGAGGACUUGCCCGCCCGCGCGGACGCAAGCCGGACCGUCAGACUCCGCGGGCACAGGCCCAGGCCGGAAGCGCCGCGGCCCGGAGGACGGAAGUGCUGGGACCGUUCCCGCUGGCCCCGCCCUCCUCGGGGCCCCGCGACCCGCGACCCCGCGACCCGGAAGCGCUGUCCGGAAGCGCCGCUCCGCCUGCAGGUGGGAGCUUCCGUGUGGUGGGGAGCCGCGCUGCGCGGCAGGGGUGCGGCCCGGUCCUGCGGCAGAGCCCGGAGCUGGGAGGGAAGGCCGGCUGUGCCCGGGACACCGCCUGCCCUGUGCCUGCCAGGACAGAUUCCAUCUCACCAUGAACCACUGACAUCAAACUUGUGAAGCAUUUCCAUUGAAUCGUUGGAAGGACUUCAUGUUCAGAUAGGGUUUGGAGAUGGGAGAGCACAAGUAGGCAGAGCGGCAGGCAGAGGGAGAGGGAGAAGCAGGCUCCCCGCGGAGCAGGGAGCCUGAUGCGGGGCUCAGUCCCGGGACUCUGGGAUCAUGACCUGAGCCGAAGGCAGACACCCGACUGAGCCACCCAGGUGCCCAAAACAGAUGUAUUUUUUUAUUUGAAAGAGCGAGAACAUGAGUGGCGGGAAGGGCAGAGGGCAGAGGGAGAGAGAAUCUCCAGCAGUUUCCCUGCUGAGCUUUGAGCCCAGUGUGGGGCUAGAUCUCACGACCCUGAGAUCAGGACAGGAGACAAAAUCAAGAGUUGGAUACUUAACCGACUGAGCCACCCAGGCACCCAUGUUCUUUUAAAUCUUGUCAGACUUUGGUCAAAAAACAAAUAAAUCUUGCAUUUGCUGUAUCCUCUCUCAUACCUUUUCUACGUAUAGUCGUGCUCUGCACUUCUUGUCUCCUCUUGGGGGCUGUGGAAUUUCUGAUUGUAGGCCUUCUCUAGAUACUGCAAAGCCAGGCCAGGUGCUGACAGCCUUCCUUUUGCUUUCCCUAGUGUGGUGCUGAGUGCUCCCGUUUUGUGCUGACGCACAGUCCCACAGAGUUGGGCCGGCGUUGUCUGCAUGCUCUCUAGCCUUCUGCAAGGCUCACUCUGGACGCAGUUGGGAGCGCACUCAGGGAGCUGACCGCCAGCUUGAGAGAUGUGUGGGUGAUGUGCACUGAGUACUGGGGGGUUCAGAGGUGUAGUGUCCCUGGCAGCUCAUGGACAGGCUUCCUGAUGGAGUCUGCAGUGCAGUUAGUAGGAUCUGCAUCUCUUCCGUUGCCCCGUUAAGACCUCCACCUGCUCUUUUCACAGGGGCUUCCCAGCCCCAGGUCAUGCAGCACACCCCGGUAUUGCAGGGAGUGCAGGAAGACCUGGGUUUCUUUGGCUAGAGGAGCAGGUCACUCACUUAGAUGCUCUCCCUUUCUCCCAAGGGAGAAAACAUGGGUCAGGAUGUGCCACUGAGAUGUGCCAUUUUGGGAGAAUGGUGAUCCAGUUAAAGUGAAACUGUUACUCUUACCCUUUUUAAUGCACCUAGUCUUCGAUGACUUUUUUUUUUUUAAAGACCCCAUUUAUUUAUUUGACAGAGAGAGACAGUGAGAGAGGGAACACAAGCAGGCAGAGUGGGAGAGGGAGAAGCAGGCUCCCCGCUGAGCAGAGCGCCCGAUGCGGGGCUCGAUCCCAGGACCCUGGGAUCAUGACCUGAGCCGAAGGCAGACGCUUAAUGACUGAGCCACCCAGGCGCCCCUCGAUGACUUCUUUUUAUUUCCUUGCUCCAACAGUGUGCUGGAACUUCUCUGCUGGGCUCCCGAAUUUCCACAAAGGCCCUCUCAUGCUGGAUGAUUGUCUAAUCAGUGUUCUUUGAGAGGAAGACAGUAGAAAAGUAUCCUGGCAUGUUGAUGAAGUCUGUUUCUUCAGAAAGUAAUCUUUUUUUAUAAUAACAGUUGGAGCCCUUUCACAGGAAGGCAAGAAAGAGGGCAUGAAGGGAAGGUUUUAUGUUUGACUGCAUGAAAAUUUUAAGUAAAAGAUCCAGGAAAACCUGAGAAGUCUGCUAUAGACAUGGCUCUGUGCAAUUUAUCAGUCAUGUUGAGCUCACUGCUCAGUGAGUCAGAAGAUCACGUAAAGAAAGCAAGGAUGCUGCUGAUAAAAGACUAACUGGUUGAACAAGGUUUUACUGGUUAAUAUGAAAAUCUAAUGUCUUUACAAACUACAUAUUGAAAUAAUGUAAAAUUAUUUAACAAGGACUGAAGAAUAUUUUCAGUAUAUAAUACUGAAAAACACUGAGGCCUCAUGACAAUAAAUUUUGAGGGGGAAGUAAUUUAAAAAAAUUUUAAAAACAUGGUAAUUAGGACAUUGGCUCUUCCUUUGUGCCCUAUGCCGCUGUUAAGGCUUCUGUUCUGUCCUCCAUCCCUGAUGACCCCACUGAUUCUUGUCUAGAUCACUCUUAUUUUGCUAUUAUGUCUUUAUGAGCCCAAUGGAUCCACCUGCCCCCCAUCCUUUAUUUAACUCUCAUUCGACCUUACUUUCUCUGACUCGUUCUGUCUCCCUUGUUGUUCUCCCUCUUUGAUGUGUUCUUUCCCCCAUAUCCCACACCUGACUAGACAUCCAUACGGAUGUACUGAAGAUACCCUCCUAGGAAGAGCCCACUUUCCAGUGACACACUGGGAAUGUAAACAUACCAUGCCAGACACAGCACGGAAGGUGAAAUUUGGAACAGGAGAGGUUGGUGCCCCCCCCCCCCCCCCGCAGCCCCAGGACCUUCCUGAGGCAGCCUGAAGGGCAGGCCUGAUAAACAGCAGGGUGCAGUUCCCAGGAGAACAGAAAAGGGGUCUCAGGAGAGGACUGGGGUCUGCAGAAUGCUAGGACCAGGAAUGGCAUGGCACCUGGGGGAUGGUCUGGAGGGCCAACAGGGUUGAUGGUGGUGAAAGGCAAUAAUCCACUUCCCUAAUUGUGACUUGUCAUAGCAUUGGGACAGGAGACAGUGAAGAGCCCAAAGGCAGAAAGUCCAAACAGGGAUAGCUUCCCAUCCAUUUUAACUAGAAACAAAGUGAGUUAGACCUGGUGGCGGAACGGCCAGUGUCCUGAGCCUCUCGAGGGUCUCCCUGCUGAUGGUAUGGACAGGUGCGUGGACUGUGCUAUCUGCUGGGACUCCUGCAACCAGGUGUGAAGAAUGGGUGGGGAGGGGAGGUACCAGUGAAUGCAGGAUUUGAGUCUCAAAGACAGGAGCACCUGGUCCACUUGGGUGGUACCUUUGCUCCAGCAAAUCUGCUUCUAGCUCAACAGGAAGCUAUAGGGCGGGUAGUGUUGGUCAAAGAGGGGCCUCCCCCAGGAAGGGGCAGGGGCAGUGUGGCUUGGGUGAGGUGGUGCUGGGCGUUGAGAAACACGUAGUCAGUGUGAGCAGUCCAUGCCCCACCUACCCUAUUCAGGUGUUUCUGCACCUGUCCCUUCCUCCACCAGUAUGUAUCACCUCACACUUUUGCUUUGGGGUUUUGCUUCAAAGUAGCUUUGGUCCUUUCCCCUAGUGGAGAAUUUAGAAUCCUUGAUCCCCCAACCUACAGGCUUUCCACCACAUAGCUCUAUAACUCCUCACCAUUCUGCCCCAGCUUAACACUCUCACUCAGAGCCCCAUCCCUGGUGCCCACAGCUCCCACAUCUCUGGACUGUUCAGACCCUGGAUUCUAGUCUUCCCUUCUCCAGAGCCCCUGCAAGUCCCACAGGCCUGACCCCACAAUUCUGGUUUCACUUCUCCCAGGCUCCCCAGUGGGCAUGCUCUGUGGGUUUUUACUGCACUGCUGAGCUGGCGCUUUCUACCUCAUGUGCCCUCUAAGACAUCACACACCCUGAUCCCACAAGCCCUGACAUGUCGUGCAUGUGCACGGAGGAGAUCUGAGAACAUGUGCCUGUGUUCUGACAGUCACGUGUGCACCUUCCACACUGAUCACAUACUCUCAGACACCAUAAUGACCCAUGCCUUCUAAAGGCACAGAAACAACAAGGAAACAUGACUGUAUACAGGUCAUAGAAUCACCAUAUGCCCUCUGCCCACACACAAUUGCUGACACAGUCCUCAAAGGAAAACCCGGCUGUGCCCAUGUGUGCUUUGAUAAUAGGGUAUUUCACCCUUGGACAUCAACAUGGAAGCCCAGGGCUGAGGCGGCCAGGCACUUGGCACAGGAAUGAAAUGCAUGCUGACCUCCCAUCAGAACCCAGCACAACUGGUUUGUAUGGCUGACCUAUGGGUGUUUGAUAUGAACACAGUACCAAGAAAUGAAGUUAGGGAAGUGUAGAUAAUUAAGCCCAUGAGAAAGUAUCAAAGUUUUAAUGUGAUUCCAACUUGUAAACUGGAGAAUAUAAAUAGUUACUAUUUUCAAAAUUCUGACAAAUAUAUUAUGCAUUAAAAAUAGAGAUGAAUCAUUCUUCGGUUUAAAAUGUCUCCAGGUGAAUUAUUUCCGUUUUGGCCCUGAGUAGCUUGUCCUGGACCAACUAACCAGUGACAGCAGUGAAACCUUACUAAAGUACACAAGCAACUGCUCAGAGGUACUGAAGUGUGUAGCCUCUUCAGAUGACUUGAUACAGUCUGAGAAAAGGGAAGCUCGACGAUGUGAUUUUCUUAUUCAUACUGGCUUUUUCUACUGAAGCAUCUGGAAAUGAACACUAUGGAAGGACAGUCCAGAGAAAUAGGCAGCUUUUCUUGACUGAGAACAAAAUCAGCUGGAAAUUUGUUCAAGCAAAAUACUGAGGCUUCUGCUUCCAGGUAAGAUGUUGAGUAGAGACAAGACAGAGAACAGGAGGGCGCCUGGGUGGCUCAGUUGGUUAAGUGACUGCCUUCAGCUCAGGUCAUGAUCCUGGAGUCCCUGGAUCGAGUCCCGCAUCGGGCUCCCUGCUCGGCAGGGAGUCUGCUUUGCCCUCUGACCCUCCCCCCUCUCAUGUGUGCGCUCUCUCUCUCUCAUUCUGUCUCAAAAAAAAAAAAAGACAGAGAACAGGAAAUUAGAUGUUUUAAAUUCAGAGAUUUGUAAAACCGGAGAGGACUAUAAGAACCAGGAAGAGACCAUCUGAUUUCCACACUUGGGGGAAUUUGCUUAGUAUAGACACUGAAAAUCAUGGGCAAAAAAAUCACUAUGAGGAAAUAACAAGUAGAUGGAUAUAUAAACAUGUGGACUGACAUAGGCUGAUUGAAAUAUAGAGAAUCUCCAAUGUUGGGAUCCUUUUCCCCAUAGGUUUUUAGGUGGGGAUAAAGAAGAAAAGAAAGUGUUUUGUCUUCUCAGUUUAUACUACUUUGGAAGGUGUUUUCAGUAAAUCUAGAGGAAUGACCUGAAAGACAUGAAUGUCUGAAUGAAAUCAAAGCUGCCACCUAGCCUGAGUCUAUUUCAAUUCCUGGAUGGAAGAAGUGAUGUUUCCUCACUCUAAGAGAAUAAUAAACUUGUCUGGGUAAAACCACAUCAACUUCAGUCUCCUUUUUUUGAAGACAAUGUGUGAAAUUAAAAAAUUAAAAAAUACAAAAACAUCUUUGUAAAGCAGCAGGAAAGGUGAUGGGAAAAAAAGACAAUGAACAAAUCCACAUCUAUCUUUAGAUUGGAGUUAGGAGGAAAAUUUAUAAUAUUACUACACAAAAUAGAAGUUAUAAGAAACAUGAGAAGCUGGAGAAAUUCAAUAGUUCUAGGUUUGGGAAGCUAUGUCCUGUUGGUGACAUUAAUGGGUGAGUUUAAGACUUUACACAUAGAAAACAAAUUAGUGUGAGGACACAUCAAUAAUACCUUCAAACCAAAGGGCAGAGAUAAAGUGAGGAUUGACAAGGCAUUGCAUACUCACUCGUAACGUUAUAAGUUAAUCAUAAGCACCUGCAUUCUCUUUCUUGCCACGUGUGAACAAGGAUGACUAAUCAUACGCAAGCGAGUGAAGACCAAUGACUCGGCCUGGCCUCUGGCCUCCCGGCUUUCUGCAUUUGCCUGUGGGGGGAACCGGGAUGCAAAGGUCUCCUCCGUUGGGUGACGUGUGCGUCCGUGGCUGUUGUGUCAGGGAUAUGGGCAAGGCUGGGCUGCCUCUGCUUCAGCCCUCGGCUGUGCCAGACUGGUUUUUGCCACUAGCAGACGUUAGCGUGAGUGUGCUAGGCAUUCUGGAAUAGGAUACUCCAAAUAUCCUCAGUCUCCUUCAUGUCCUAGUUCUCACCGAACACAACCCUUUGGCAACAAAAUUCUCUUGUCUUCCUAGGAAUGAUUUUUUCUCCAGUCACUUCUUGUUUCAGCAGAUUUCUUCUGCAUGCCAAAUGAGUUGCUAAAUUGAAUGAGUGCAUAGUGAUUACAGAUCCAGACUUUCCUGCACAACUGGCUUGUUUAAAGGAUAAAUGAAAGUAUUUCUGCAUUGAUUACAGACAUAUUUCUCUGACGUAACUUCUCCAUUUUGUUUGACGGAACUGUGGAUGAAAAUUCUUCCACACUCACUUCAUUUACAUCCUUCCGUGUCAGUCCAUUAUCUAAAGGUUUUGUCAUAUAGAUGACCCACAUAUGGAUUCUCUCCACUUUGGAUUACCUUCAGUUGAGUGAAGUAAUAAGGAUGAAUAAAUGCUCUCCCACACUGAUUAUAAAUAUGGUGUUUCUUGAGUAUUUGAGCCCUCAAGAGUGUUUGUAGUUUGAAGCUAUAGGUGGUGAAUCUUCCACAUUUAUUACCUUUACAUGUAUUUUCUCAUGUUGUCUAAGGUUAAAAUAUUUACUGAAGGCUUUCCCGCAUACAAAACAUUUAUAUGGUUUCUCUCCAGUGUGGAUUCUCUUAUGCAAUCUAAAGUUAUAGCUUCUAUUGAAGGCUUUGCCACAUACAUUGCAUUCAUAUGGUUUCUCACCGGUAUGAGUUCUCUCAUGUCGUCUAAGGACAGAAGAGUGAUUGAAAGCUUUCCCACAUAGGUGACAUUCAUACGGUUUCUCUCCAGUGUGCGUUCUCUCAUGUCGUUUAAGGACAGAAGAAUCAGUAAAGGCUUUCCAACACAGAUGACAUUCAUACGGUUUCUCUCCAGUGUGGGUUCUCUCGUGUCGUCUAAGGACAGAAGAUUCAGUGAAAGCUUUCCCACACAGAUGACAUUCGUAUGGUUUCUCUCCAGUGUGAGUUCUCUCAUGUUUUCUGAGGUGAGAACAGUGGGUAAACGCCUUCCCACACAAAUGACACUCAUAUGGUUUCUCUCCAUUAUGAGUUCGCUCAUGUUGUCUAAGGUAAGAAGUUUUACUGAAUGUCUUCCCGCAUAGAUGGCACCCAUAUGGUUUCUCUCCAAAGUGAGUUCUUUCAUGUUUGUUAAGGUCAGAACAGUGGGUGAAGGCUUUCCCACAUAGAUGGCAUCCAUGGGGUUUUUUCCUGGUGUGAAUCAUCUCGUGUCGCCUAAGGUUAUAACUCUUACUGAAGGCUUUCCCACAUAGAUGGCAUCCAUAUGAUUUCUCUCCCGUGUGCGUUCUCUCAUGCUUCCUAAGGUCAGAGCAAUGAGUGAAGGCUUUCCCACACAGAUGGCAUCCGUGUGGUUUCACUCCAGUGUGAAUCAUCUCGUGUCGCCUAAGGUUGGAACUUUUUCCAAAGGCCUUCCCACAUUCAUGACAUUCAAAUGUUUUCUCUCCAUUUUGAGUAUUAUUGGUUUGUCUAUGGGCAGAGCUUUGAAUAAAGGCAUUCCCACGUUGACAACAUUUGUAUGAUUUACUUGUAGUGUGACUCUGCUUAUGUGUAUUAAAAGAUGUCAAAUAACUGCUGUCUUUUCCACAUUCUUUGCUGAUAUAGGGAUUCUUUCCCAUUUUAGGUACCACAUAUUGAGUCCAUGUUAGUAUUUCAGUAAAAUUGUCUCCGAAAUCAUUGCAUUCAAAAGGAUCCUCUUGAGUGUGAGAUCUUUGCUUUUUGAAAGGAAAUGAGAGACUGUUAAAAAUUCCCUCACAUUUAUUCCUUCCCUCCUUCAUCUACAUAUAAAUUCUACAGUCAUCAUUCAGUGAUAGAGUCCGACAACAUUGUCUCAAGAUUAGUUACAUAAACAGGGGGUAUUCCUCUCCAGCAAGCAUAGAGAUUUUCUUUUUUGUAGCAUCCCAAAUGCAGAGAUAUCUGAUUAAAGACAUUAUUAUGUGUCAAAUGUUAGGUAUGUAAGUCAUGAUCAUGCAGCUGUCUGUUUACAAGACCUCAGGUUAUGGUUUUGACUUCAGAUUAAUUUCUUCCCUAAAAUCAAACUAACCAAAACUUCCUGCUGUGAAAACCCUUGAUUUCAACUUAAAUUAUGGUUGGGUAAUUGUGCCCAAUUCCUUACUUAUUCAAUACCCACAUCAUUUGGAAACACAGGUUCAUUCCCUUAAAGCUUACCAUUUCACUGAUUAAUGUUGUGUCCUUCUUGCAGAUAUGUUGCAUGAAUAUCACUUCUUGUUUUUUAAGAUGAUCUUCCCUAUCUGAAAUGAUUGGGGAAAAAAUUGCCAUAGUGAUUGAUGGAAUUAAAAUGUUGAAGACACUAAAUGCUCGUUGAGUAUGUUUCAAAUACUGACAGAGAUGGGAAAGAAUGUCAAAUUAAGGAAUACCAUAAGGAGAAGAAACACAAAGGACAUCAACAGUUGACCUUUUCAGGACUGAAAUAUGAGAAAAAUAAGAUGGAGAUGGUGCUCUCCUGGUUCCAAGUGGGAAAUCGUAUCUGAUUUGUAGAGUUGUCUGCCUGUUCAUAGAAAAAAGAUAAUUGAAUUUUGACUUCUGUGCUCAUAACACUGAAUGAUCAUCAAUAUAGGACCAACUAAUGAGAAAGAAUAAGGUAACCUCUGAAAGUCAUCCCAGGUAAGAGUAUGUUGAAAACAACAUGGACAGUCCUUCACCAACAGAAGUUUAACUCUUGACUUUUCCCAAAGACAUUAAGGACCUGUCAUUGUUGAUGCCUAACUAAGUUCAGAGAUAAACUGUGUAAUCUUCAAUAUUUUAACACAGCGAGAAGAUACAAGUUCUCACAGUGUUUGAAUAGUAUAUCCUAAAUGAAUCCAGUAAUACAACUCCACCAGAAAAAUCUUGGUUCUACAUGGAAAACCAUUUGUCUGUUGUUGUUUUUAAGAUUUAUUUAUUUUAGAGAAACUGGGGGCGGGGGAGGGGGAGAGGGAGAGAGAAACUUAAGCAGAUUCUGCACUGAGCAUGGAGCCCGAUUCGGGCUCAAUCCCACGACCCUGAGAUCAUGACCUGAGAUGAAACAAAGAGUCGGAUACUCAACCGACUGAGCCACCCAGGUGCCCCUGUUUUUUUUUUUUUUUUAAAUACUGUGGUCUGAUCAGUCCCCAUAGGAAAAAAAAAAGUCAGUAUAUUUACUUACCAAUUCAAAAAUAAUGAGUUCCCACCACUGUUUGGUUGUUGUGGAGAUUGAGUAGUAAGAAAGACAUGAAAUUCUAGUGGGAUGACAAAUAAAAGUAAAAUGUGAAGAAGAUUGCUGUGAGGUAGUUGUGGGUAAGAAAGAAGACAGUCUUCAGAAAUCACAGAAAUGAGCAAUCUUUUCCACACAGCUGUUGAAUGAAUGAGUGAACGGACAUAUACAUACAUCAUAAACACUAAGAGACUCACCAAUUGAGACCAGGUGACUGAUGUUCUCCAGCAUCACAUCUCUGAAGAGUUUUCUCUGGGACCUGUCCAGCAGGGUCCACUCUUCCUGAGUGAAGUCUACAGCUACAUCCUCAAAGGUCACCAAUUCCUAGAAGAUGAUGGACGUUGUUUUCAGACAGGGCCAUCUCUGCCAAUACUCAGGGGAGGCCCCAACAGAAGGUGACUCCACAUACCUGCCUAUUCCAUGACUGUACGUGGUGACACAGGACCGAGACGCCGACCCUCCUGUCUACGUCAAGUCACAACUCAUAGUAGCUUCCAAAUGUAUCUGGC